UCUGGCUGCUCUGGCCCCCUC
RNAcentral lists this microRNA (21 nucleotides) under Dasypus novemcinctus (nine-banded armadillo). RNAcentral describes it as "dno-miR-3085-3p". Lineage: Eukaryota; Metazoa; Chordata; Mammalia; Cingulata; Dasypodidae. The record is from miRBase by way of RNAcentral.